Molecule: ribosomal RNA, 215 nt
Filed under: Perilla teres
Lineage: Eukaryota; Metazoa; Arthropoda; Arachnida; Araneae; Araneidae
Description: partial 12S ribosomal RNA
Source: RNAcentral
AACCUGUCUAUUAAUAGAUUCUCCGCUAUAAAUUUUACUUUUAUUAAAAUUUUAUAUACCUCCAUCUCAAGAUCUAAUAUUCAAUAUUCUAAUCUAAAUAAAAUUUUAAAAAGUUAGGUAAAGGUGUAGACUAUAUAAAAGAUUAGAUGGGUUACAAUAAAUUAUUAUUUAAGAAUAAUUAAAUAAAAAUAUUUUGAAAAAGGAUUUAUUAGUAA